This 253-nucleotide ribosomal RNA is filed under the name uncultured bacterium. RNAcentral's name for it is "partial 16S ribosomal RNA". It matches the Rfam family "Bacterial small subunit ribosomal RNA", at positions 524 to 776 of the family's 1533-position model. The record is from RNAcentral.
UACGUAGGGGGCAAGCGUUGUCCGGAUUUAUUGGGCGUAAAGAGCGUGUAGGCGGCCAAGCAGGUCAGCUGUGAAAACUCGAGGCUCAACCUCGAGAGGUCGGUGGAAACCGUAUGGCUAGAGUCCGGAAGAGGAGAGUGGAAUUCCCGGUGUAGCGGUGAAAUGCGCAGAUAUCGGGAAGAACACCCGUGGCGAAGGCGGCUCUCUGGGACGGUACUGACGCUGAGACGCGAAAGCGUGGGGAGCGAACAGG